Molecule: non-coding RNA, 46 nt
Organism: Operophtera brumata (winter moth)
Lineage: Eukaryota; Metazoa; Arthropoda; Insecta; Lepidoptera; Geometridae
Source: Rfam
GCUAAGGCUCUUUUCAGAGCCACAUACCUAAUUCAAAGUGACCUAA